UCCUGAAUAGUCAAUGUUAGAAUUGUGUAAAGGUCAACUAAAAAUAGAAUUUAAACACUGUAAUGGUGUGUGUUGCCAAUAGAACAUAGGGUCAUGGCUAAGAACCGCAGUGGAAUAGACUAGAACCUUGACAAGGUUGUUCAAGGCUCUCAAAUUGGAAAUCGAGACCAGGUGGCCUCUUCAUGGUCACGAACCAGACCUCACUGACUGAGGAAGGGAAGAGAAGAGCUUGUUUGUGAAACCAUGGAGGGAGAAAUGAAGGAGACAGGAAGGCAAAGGAGCCAAGAGGGAUUCCUGGAGCAGCACAGAGCUGGAGGCUCCAUGAGGGCUAUCAGGAAAACCGAAGAACCUCCAUUCAUACCUGCCUCACGGACCCACAAGAUCUCCCCCCACCGCCCCUAUAGUCGUUUGUCAGCAGCUCGACCUGGAUGUUGGAAACCAAACUCUGGUCCCCUGCAGGAACGGAAGCACCCUCAACCCUCGCCACCUCUCCCGAGCCACCUAAUUUUUCAAAUUAGCAUAAGAUAGUAGAUACCUAUGAUAUUGCCAAACAGUGUGUUAUGAGUCUUCUUCCUCCGUCUCCCUCACUGCUAACUGCUGGUGGUAGUUCCCCUCCCCUAAGUCGCUCUUUCUUCCUUUCUUUCUUUCUUUCUUUCUUUCUUUCUUUCUUUCUUCCUUCCUUCCUUCCUUCCUUCCUUCCUUCCAUUUUCCUUUUUGGUUUUUCAAUACAGGAUUUUUCUAUGUAGCCCUGGCUGUCCUGGAACUCCCUCUGUAGAUCACGCUGGCCUUGAACUCAGAGAUUCACCUGACUCUACCUUUGGAGUGCUGGGAUUAAAGGUAUGCACCACCACCACCCAGCUAAGUCUCUCCCUUUUCUCUUCCCAUAUGCCUUUGCCCUACUCCUCAUUUUCUCUUUACCUAUUAUUACCCCUCUAGGUCUCCUCUCUACUCUUCCAGGCUUUACCCACAAUUAUAUACACAGUGUGAGCCUGUGUGUGUCUGUGUGUCUGUGUGUGUGUUUGUGUGUUUGUGUGUAUCUUGCUUCAUAUUAUACUUUCCAGAUCUAUCCAUUUUCCUUCACAUUUCCUGAUUUGAUUUUUUUACAGCUAAAUACAAUUCUACAUUUAUAGGCUAACCUCAGACCAAGUAUCAGUAUGAUGGCCAUUUUUUUUUCUUCCUCUGCUUAAAAAAUAUAAAUUCGUCUCCUGACUGAUAGCAACAUUAUAAAAUGUGUACAAUAUCUUGGGACAAACAUUCCCCAUGGAUAAAAACUCUGUCCUCGUGCGUUUCAAUGUGUGACAUCAGAAAUACUCCCUACACAAUCCCCUGUGGAACACUGUGGGUCCUAGCUCUGUAAGUGCAGUUCACAUGCACGAACUUUUUGAAUUUAACAGUAUUUAUACAUUCAGAUAUGCAACAACCAGGGAGAAAGUUUCUCCAAUUCUACAGCUAAGAAAACUCAGCAAAUUUGAGUAACUUGCCCAAAGUUACAGAAGUGCCAAGUGCCCAAAUUUGCACUAGAAAACUCGUUGACCCGCAGAGCCAGAUUGUCUCCAGACAGCCUUAAGUGAGAUAAGGAAGUAGAAACAGUAAAUCAGUUAUAGAUGAGAGCUAAGAGAAAGAUGAGGUACAGCUCAGAAAAUGAAUCACUUGAAAUUUCCCAUGCCACCAGUGAGCCCACCCCAAGUAUACUGAGACAUCACUGUCGGACGGAAAGCGAUAGCCCUCUGGGUUAUUGCUGGGCUUCUCUUCCUGAACAUAACCAAGUCCCCUGACCUCUCUAGGUCUCUAAAUCUUAGCUGCACCAGGAGAUGGUCUCUUGGGGCCCUUUCAGUUCUAAAAGAUUCCCCGAGGGUUCUCAGCAGUAGCCUACUUCCGUGCAGUGCGUCACACAGCACCAGAAGGAUGAGAUUAGAUGAUUAAUUACAAAAUUGGGUCAACUGCACCUGCAGGACCACCUGUAGGUCUGGUUUGCAGGGAGUCUACAAGGUAAAGGGAAUGGAUGUGUUACACCUACUGUGUGUGUGUGUGUGUGUGUGUGUGUGUGUGUGUGUGCGCGCGCGCGCGCGCGCGCUAAGUUCCCAAGGCAGGGAUUAUUACGUGAUUGUUGUUGCAUUCUAACAAGCGACCCCCAAACUGUGGCUCAAGAUAAUUUAUUUUAUUUACAGUCUCAGGUCAGGAAUUUGGAAAGAGUCCCGGAGUCACUUAGAGACACACUGGGGUAAAUAUCUAUAAAAUAAUACUGCAGCCAACCCAGGGAGAACAGGACCAGGGAGAGCUGAAAGGGGUAAGAGAGGGUCCUGGUGACAUCACUAGAUAUCUAGCUGGUCCAGGAAAAAUUCAGCCAAAUAGCUGGAGACACCAAAUGCUGGAGAGGACAUGGAGCAAGUGACAUUCUCCUUCAUUACUGUCAAGAGUGGAGAGGGCAGAAUCACUUCUCAGCACAGCUUAGCAGUCUCUUACAACACUCCACAAAGGCAUUCCAUGCAACCCAGAAACAGUGUGGAUUUACCCAAAUUAACCAGCAAUUUAGACCCACACAAAACCUGCAUUUCGAUCCUGAUGGCAGUUUUAUCCAGAACUUUGCAAAAUCUAGAAGCGAUCAAGAUAAGCUCCAAUUGGUGAGUGGGUCAAUAGACAAUGAUCCAGGUGUUUAAGGAAACGAUCGCCAGGUACGGUGGUUCAUACUGCAGUCCUAACACUCAGGAGGUGCCAGAGAAGAAUCGGCAUAGUGAGUUCGAGGCCCAGCUCAUUAUACAAUGGAGAGAACAAAAGGAACUGGGAUGUAGCUCAGCACGAGAGUGCUUGCCAUGAGAGUGCAUGGUCCUGGGAAAGAGACAGAGAGAAGGAGGAAGAGAGUGCAAAAGGAGAAGAGGAAGAAAGGUAGACAAGAUACUUGCCACGGUCACGGAAAAAUAGCUAAUACGGAGAAGAUUAACAUGUGGAGUCUAAUCGUGUCAUUUUUGAAUCUUGCUUCUCCAACUCUCUACAAUCAACUACCGACUUCUCUGCUCACCUGUGGUGUGGUCAUCCCUACGCCAUUCAUUUCCCGUGACGGGAUAUUAUCUGUAAAAUGCCUUAAAUUUCUAUCAGUGUUUUUUCCAUAAUCUUAGAAAAUCCAAACCCCUCAAAAAAGGCAUGAGACGCUCUCAUGAUGUGUCUCUGCCUGUCCCUCCACUUCACACUCUACCCAAUCCCAUUUUGCAACAACUGUUAGCUUUAGUUCUUCCUCUUACACCCCUACCCCUCCAGUAACCUGACAAUUAGUUCCUACUUAUCCACCUAGAUUCCAUGUCACCUUUCCUGAUGUCAUGCCUCAGGGUAUAGUCUGUCCAGACACUCACUGCCCCAACUUUAUUUAUCCAACUUCCCAACUAGAUUAUUGGCUUCAUGGGAAAGAACUCAUUCUUGGAAGGAAAUAAUCGUGAAUGAUCCUCAAGUGCUCAAGUAUACACUGAAUGAAUAAAAGUCCUCGAGUUUGGAAUCAGUACAUGGAGGUCAAGGGUGGAUCUGUCAGAGAAAGGUGGGUCUCUGUCAUUCUUUUGAGAUGCCUGUUAUUUGUUCCUUUCUCCACUGCCCAGAGGAUUUCUCAUUUGGGGUUUCAGGAGGCAUCAGAACCUACUCGGGUCAAGGAUGGCAAAGAAAUAACUUGCUCAAUACUCCAUUCUUCCCCACUUCUACGUCAUUGGCUCUAACUGGAACUCCUAGGGCUCCGGUCCUACAGUAAGGAGUUGACUGAACACCCUGUAGCAUCAUGGCUAGUCCUCUCCACCCCUUUGGAAGCUGAGCAGACAAGGCUGGAAAGGAGUAUCAGUGACAAAUGGCCAACACUGGACAGUGUUCCAGACAGAGGGCCGUGAUGGUUGAAAUAAGAAGGUCCCCCAGAGGCUCCUGUGUCCGAAUGUUUGGUCCGCCGUUAGUGGUACUCUCAAUUAGCACUGAGUUAAAGGAGACCCAGAUUCCUGCCGUUUGUUGAGGAUUUGUUGAAAUGCAACUGAAUAUCUGCCUUAGGAAAUUCCUGACCCAGUGCAUAGGUGCAUCAUGCACGAGCCGGUGCUCUGCUCGACAUCUGCUGAAAGCAGGAGCGUGGCACGGAAAAUCACCAGUGCUGAAAUGGGAUGGGCUGCGACCUGCUUGACCUCGUUCAAACCUCUGUGUCUGAGGAAGCAAAAGACGGCCAUUCUGCUCGGUAUACAGGAUGAAACAGGACAACUUACUGAGAUGCUGUGAGUUUCUAAUUUGCUUUUUGAUCCAAAAAUCAUGCCAGGGGGCCUAAUACCUAGAAUAUAUUUUUAAAAAAAUCAUAAAAAUUAAGUUCUGAAACCCAGGUCAUCCAGUCAACAAGUUGGCCAAUGAGCUGAAGAGGCAGUUUUCUAAAGAAGAAAUACAAAUGAAAAAUGAGUGCUUGAAAAAGGACUCAGCACCCCUAACCACCACAGAGGCCCACAUUAGGGUUGCUUUGAGCCUCCGUCUCACCCCAGCCGGAUGACUGUCCUGAAAACAAACAGUUAAUGCUGGCAAGUUAAUGAACAAGGAUGUCGGGUAUGCUGCUGGUGGGAAUGUAAACCUAUACAGCUACCAUGAAACUACCGCACAGGUUCCUCAGGAGACAACAAGACUGCCGCAUGACCCCGCUGUAAAUAUUCCUGGAUGUAAUAUCCAGAGGCACCGGGUCAACCUAGCACACAGACAUUUGCACGCUCGUGUUUACUGCUGCACUGUGUAUUCACGCCCGCUAAUAAGAGGAAGCAGCUGAAAUGUCUAUCAGCAGACAAGCAGAUAAAAGGCACAGUGUCCACGCAGGCACUGGGACUUUAUCGGUCAUGAAGAGGAACAAAACCAUGACGUUUGCAGCUAAGUGGAUGGAACUGGAGAUCAUUGUGUUAAGCAACAAGUAAGAUUCACAAAGACAAAUACCAUACGCUUUCAGCAGACUCUAGUUUUAAGUGUGCAUGUGUAUACCUGUGUGCACGUGUGUGUGUGUGUGUGUGUGUGUGUGUGUGUGUGUGUGUGUGUGUGAUGUGAAAGUAGAAAGAGGAAUGUGGGAUAGGCAGAGGCCUUACCGGAAGGAAGAGAGAAGGAAAAGCAGCAGGAAAAGCCACUACACUCAGGAACUCACAGCGCCAGUGUUUGCCUGUCCAACUGUGCAAGAUCAAGUCAGUCUGCAUUCUACCAUGGAGCGGGAAGGGGGUCAUACGUCUCACCUCCAUCCAAGGAGCUACGGAGAGCUCAUGGUGUGGAGAAAAGAAAGUCGUUUUUAAGGGGAGUGGCUCCUGGGAGGUGCCACAUGUCCCAUGCCCCACAUUCAGAAAUACACGGACAACACAAAUUGGAGUUAUUACAUUUUUACAAAAGAGUACAUGAAGGGUGGAUCUCAGCUGGAGGUCGGGAAAGACUUGGGGGAAAAUGCAAUCAAAAUACAUUGUAA
RNAcentral lists this long non-coding RNA (5428 nucleotides) under Rattus norvegicus (Norway rat). Its description in RNAcentral is "partial HAfT18". The record is from RNAcentral. Lineage: Eukaryota; Metazoa; Chordata; Mammalia; Rodentia; Muridae.